UGACGUUGGGAAAGCGAGCGGCGGAUGGGUGAGUAACACGUGGGGAACCUGCCCCUAAGUCUGGGAUACCAUUUGGAAACAGGUGCUAAUACCGGAUAAUAAAGCAGAUCGCAUGAUCAGCUUUUGAAAGGCGGCGUAAGCUGUCGCUAAGGGAUGGCCCCGCGGUGCAUUAGCUAGUUGGUAAGGUAACGGCUUACCAAGGCGACGAUGCAUAGCCGAGUUGAGAGACUGAUCGGCCACAUUGGGACUGAGACACGGCCCAAACUCCUACGGGAGGCAGCAGUAGGGAAUCUUCCACAAUGGACGCAAGUCUGAUGGAGCAACGCCGCGUGAGUGAAGAAGGUUUUCGGAUCGUAAAGCUCUGUUGUUGGUGAAGAAGGAUAGAGGUAGUAACUGGCCUUUAUUUGACGGUAAUCAACCAGAAAGUCACGGCUAACUACGUGCCAGCAGCCGCGGUAAUACGUAGGUGGCAAGCGUUGUCCGGAUUUAUUGGGCGUAAAGCGAGCGCAGGCGGAAAAAUAAGUCUAAUGUGAAAGCCCUCGGCUUAACCGAGGAACUGCAUCGGAAGCUGUUUUUCUUGAGUGCAGAAGAGGAGAGUGGAACUCCAUGUGUAGCGGUGGAAUGCGUAGAUAUAUGGAAGAACACCAGUGGCGAAGGCGGCUCUCUGGUCUGCAACUGACGCUGAGGCUCGAAAGCAUGGGUAGCGAACAGGAUUAGAUACCCUGGUAGUCCAUGCCGUAAACGAUGAGUGCUAAGUGUUGGGAGGUUUCCGCCUCUCAGUGCUGCAGCUAACGCAUUAAGCACUCCGCCUGGGGAGUACGACCGCAAGGUU
Molecule: ribosomal RNA, 832 nt
Filed under: uncultured bacterium
Lineage: Bacteria
Description: bacterial SSU rRNA
Rfam family: Bacterial small subunit ribosomal RNA
Source: RNAcentral